RNAcentral lists this transfer RNA (73 nucleotides) under Oscarella viridis. RNAcentral describes it as "tRNA-Ile". It matches the Rfam family "tRNA". Rfam says of the family: Transfer RNA (tRNA) molecules are approximately 80 nucleotides in length. Lineage: Eukaryota; Metazoa; Porifera; Homoscleromorpha; Homosclerophorida; Oscarellidae. The record is from RNAcentral.
UAGCAAGCAGCUUAAUUGGUUGAGCAUUCCAUUGAUAAUGGAGAGGUAAUUGGUUCAAAUCCAAUCUUGCUAG